AUAGCAUUUUCAUGGAGCCCGUAAAGAAAGGGAGUUAAUUGUGUAAUUUGUGCUGAUCAGAAACUUAUAACAGUCGUCUCCCUUGAAAUAUUUGCACUUUAUGAGACACCACAAACCAUGGCGUCUCAUCAGGAUCCAAACUGUAUUCUAAAUCGUCACACUAAGCCCUCAUAAGUUAUUCAUUGUAUAUGCACUAUAUAAAACAACCAUAUAAUAUAUCUAAUAUAUCCAGACACACGUAUUAUACCCAAAUAUUAGAAAUACACAAUUUUAUAACAGUAAAAAACAAUGGUAUUUCACAAACAAUUGCAGUCGUUAAUAAAUGCAGAAAAGCAUCAUCUACACGUUUCAUACGGUAUUCAGUUUAUAUGCAAACGCAUUUAAAUAUAUUUACCUCGAUACUCGACCAAGCUGUUGAAAAAUUAUAUUAAUUAGAACGAGAACAAGUAAGAUUAAUGUGUUGUUUUCACAUUUCUUUAAAUGGCUGCCAAUACCGCAUGUAAUAAAACAAUCGAAGCGCAUGCGCAUAAUAUAUGUUACACUCCACUAAACUAGUUGCAGCAAAGACAUUCACAGGCGUUCAUGUCACUUAUAUUCAUGAUAUUUCCAUAUGCGAGUGUGAUUGUAAACACAAGUUUCUGAAAACAGUGCGAAAAGGGGCAUUACGCAAAGCCAAUAAAUCUGCGCAGAUUUUUGUCAAUAUUGACAAUAAACUGCAUGUUUUCUUACCGUUAGUAAUCCGACAGUCCGUUGGUCACAUUGUGCAUUAGUCCGUUUAAGUUAUUAUUGCCUUACACUUUUCAAUAUAAAUUUAUGAACUUUAAACAAAAUAAGUAACUAACUAAGUAACUAUUUAACUGACUAACACGCGCGUUUUUUUCCCAAUAUCCGAGACAUUUUACUUUCGCACCUUGCCCUCAAUGUCUGGCUUUUAAAGUUUACCGCCUUUUUGCGAAUACAAUGACGUUUACAUAUGAAUUGCCCAAUGAAAAUUUCGGCGGGAUGACGUCAGGCGCCAAAACUGGCGCGUGGUUUUUCCCGGUAUAGACCCAGUGUGUCAACGCUGUAAAUGCAUUGUGGGAAACGGACUAUUUCCAGCAUGGCGCCCGUAAAGAUUAUGAACACGGAAGUAAAAAUAGUAAUAAAUUAUUAUCAAAAACAGGCCUCAUCAAACCGGGUCAGCCAUGAUAUAUUCUUGGAUGCAGUUUGUGCUUCAAAAGGAGCUACUUUUCAUGCCAGCCUAUCGAUACUAUGUGGGAACUGGGAUUCGGGAUGCUCUCCCACUGGUAUCAUAUGCAGAUCAGUGGUCACAAGAACGUACACAACAUCAUUAAUGUCAGCAAUAUAUAUCUCCAACUUCAAACACACAGCUUGCAAAAUCGCUGAAUAUUGCACAAAAGCAGCUUCGUUACAAACUUCCAGCAACUCGAAAUCCACAAGCAGUCUCGUUCCCCACCCACUUUGACUUCGUAGCGAAGGCAUGUUUUUUUUGGGAAACCGUUAACAUCUCACAACUAAACGUAUACUACGGAGAUUGACAAGUUGAAAAAUAAAUUACUGUAAUCACUUCCAAUUUGCGCACUAAGUUAAACUCCAGUUCCAGUUUGUCUUUAUUGUUGAAAUGUUACUCUACACAUUCGCUUUGAAAAUAGAGGUUGGCGUGUUGUUGGAAGUACAUGUACAUGUCGAAUGUGUUAUUGUAAAAACUAUUGGUAUUGUGUUUUUAGUGCAGACAUUGUAUUUAAGUUUCGAUUUCUAGCAUAAAUUUAUAUAUUUUGUUAAAUAAUUUGCGUUUGAAUGUGAUUGUUUGUUGCUUACUUGCGAACUAUUUUUUAUGUGUAAAUAUGCAUAGACGCUAGUGGAUAUGUAAUCAGGUUACCAUAUUUACAACAAUAAAAUUUAACGGCUGUU
Molecule: long non-coding RNA, 1911 nt
Organism: Dreissena polymorpha
Lineage: Eukaryota; Metazoa; Mollusca; Bivalvia; Myida; Dreissenidae
Exons: 2
Source: RefSeq, a predicted model, not a curated record